GACGAACGCUGGCGGCGUGCCUAAUACAUGCAAGUCGAGCGGACUUGAUGGAGAGCUUGCUCUCCUGAUGGUUAGCGGCGGACGGGUGAGUAACACGUAGGCAACCUGCCUGCAAGACCGGGAUAACCCACGGAAACGUGAGCUAAUACCGGAUAUCUCAUUUCCUCUCCUGAGGGRAUGAUGAAAGACGGAGCAAUCUGUCACUUGCGGAUGGGCCUGCGGCGCAUUAGCUAGUUGGUGAGGUAACGGCUCACCAAGGCGACGAUGCGUAGCCGACCUGAGAGGGUGAACGGCCACACUGGGACUGAGACACGGCCCAGACUCCUACGGGAGGCAGCAGUAGGGAAUCUUCCGCAAUGGGCGAAAGCCUGACGGAGCAACGCCGCGUGAGUGAUGAAGGUUUUCGGAUCGUAAAGCUCUGUUGCCAGGGAAGAACGUCCGGUAGAGUAACUGCUAUCGGAGUGACGGUACCUGAGAAGAAAGCCCCGGCUAACUACGUG
RNAcentral lists this ribosomal RNA (500 nucleotides) under Paenibacillus sp. RNAcentral describes it as "bacterial SSU rRNA". It matches the Rfam family "Bacterial small subunit ribosomal RNA", at positions 28 to 507 of the family's 1533-position model. The record is from RNAcentral. Lineage: Bacteria; Bacillati; Bacillota; Bacilli; Caryophanales; Paenibacillaceae.